Molecule: long non-coding RNA, 2240 nt
Filed under: Nicotiana tabacum (common tobacco)
Lineage: Eukaryota; Viridiplantae; Streptophyta; Magnoliopsida; Solanales; Solanaceae
Description: long non-coding RNA (NTAB_LNC018982)
Source: RNAcentral
AAGUCAACAUUAAACAACAAGAUUCAUGGCUAAAUCACAACCCCAAAACUAUGUGUUUUAGCCACUCAUGAUAAUAGCAAACAAUUUCAUAAGUGUUGGAUAAUUGAAAAUACUAAGAAAAGAUGAAGAAAACUGAGAUUUCUUCGCUCCCGGAUGUUUCUCGUGUGUAUUCUCCCUUCAAAGUGGCGUCCCCCCUAAAAAAUAAGCUUAGCCUUGCUUUUAUACGUGUUGGGUAGAGGUCUAGGACCGAAAUAACCUUCUCCCGGGGAAAAUUGGACAUGAUUCACGCCGCCAGCGUCCAGCCCGGCGCCAGGCGCUGCCAAAUUGGAGUACACUGUUUCUGGUGCCACAGAUAGCGCUAGGCGUUGGCUGUUGCGCUAGAAUAUCCAUUUUUUGCUUUUUUUCAUCCAUUUCAGCUCUAAUCUUGCACCUUUUGCCCCUAAUUGCACCUGGAUCAUUCCUACACGUAAAAACACCUCAAAUUAAUAUAAAUCAAUAUAUUUUACAUACUAAAUCCACGAAACAAAAGUAAAACAUGAGGUGAUAUACAUAUAAAUAUAUAUACUUUAAGCUAAAUAUCAGUAGACUUAGGAAGAUAUAUGUCAUGACCCAAAUUCAUAUUACGUAUUGUCCGUUUUGAGCUUAGAACCGUACGGAUUUGUCUUUCGGACUGUGUCAUAUCGAGUCUCAAAAGUGUGCGUACCAUGUGAACUUGUGUCAUAUCUUACAAAACACUUCACUUUCUUCUCCCAUUUCGAUGUGGGAUUCGUCUAAGGUGACAUAUGAACGCGUUCUUCAGAAGCUUGCCAGCCUAGAAGUCUGCCAGUCUAUUUGCCUCGCCCUCCGUCAUGGGUAUCACAUUCACCCCCCCCCCCCCCUCCCCCCGGAGUUAGCGUCCUCGUUGAGGUUUGCCACACGAUCGUACUAAGAAAGAUUCGGCUCUGAUAUCUUAUUUAUCACGACCCAACCCCAUGGCACGCAUUGUCCACUUCGGGCCUAGGCCCACGGAUUUUUUGGGCUAUGCCACAUCGAGCCCCAAUAAGUGAGUGACCAUGUGAACUUGUGUUAUGCCUUAUAAAGCACUUCGCGUUCCUCUUCUAUUCCGAUGUAGGAUUUGCCUAAGGUGACAUGUGCACCCCUUCUUCAGAAGCUUAUCAGCCUAGAAGUCUACCAGUUUGCUUGGCUUGCCCUCAUUAGCGAGGCUCUGUCAUGAGCAUCACAAUAUAUUAAUACGAUAUUUUAAAUGUUUGCUCGAAUUCUCGGUUCCGUGAAAAACCACCUAGUCCUAGCCAUAUUUGUUGCAAGCCUACCUGAAUAUUAAUUGGUAUACCUAAAAAAGGUUUUUGGACUCCUAAUCAUGUAUUAGGAGAAUACCUAGGGUAAGGGUGUCAAGUUUGAGUCUGUUACGUGUGAGUUCUUUAUACUAAUUUUGAUAUAACCACUUCAAAAUUUGCAAGUCAGAAUGAGUCGUCUUAAGAUGGGAUGAGCGACGAUUUGUAAUCAUGAUACGCUCAACUGGGCGAGUUAUACUUGUGUGAGUAAAGAUUAACAUAUUAGUAAUAGUUAAUCUUAAAGGGAGAGUACAAAUUGAUAUAUAUAAAUUCAUAUAUAACCAUAACUAUUUUACUGUUAAUACAACUAUUAGCCUCUUUUAUUAAGGUGUUAAUUCACACCUCUCAUAUAUAAGUUACAAUAUCUCCCGACAAUAUCCCAAUUCCCAACCACAAAACUGUUUCAAAAAUUUGUCCAAAAAAUGACAUCUGAUAUGCAUCCCAUAUUUUUGACUUUCUGAAAAGGUGAAGCAAGGUGCGAAUAUUAGGUGGAACAAAUCGCUAAAAUAUUGGUAACAAGGUGGACCUACAAAUCCAAUCCAUUGAAUCUUUGCAUUAUAAACAGUGAUGUAAACGAUAAUAUGCAAGAAAAAAAGUACUGUAAAAGAACCUAAUGCUUGAUUCAGCUGAAUUUGUGUACUUACCUUUAAACAGCUCCUGGCAUUCUUGAAACAACCUUUUAGAAUUGAGGCGUAGUUAAUUCAUCGAUGCUUUGUAGCAAAACAUAGUUGGUUGAUCUACUGAUAAAGAUGUUAUCAAUCCCUGAAUCAAGGAACUACGCACUUUCAAUCCCUUACCACCUUUCAAACAUAAUUGAUUGAUCUACCGACGUUAGAUGUUGUCGAUGGACUACACACUUUCAAUCCCUUACCAUUGCCUUUCUCCUACUGCGCAAAGUACCAAUCGCCC